UUUAAAAGUAUAAACCUUUAAUAAAGUGAUUGACUUGAUUGACUCUCUCUCUCCAAACCCUUUCCUUCUCACUCGUGACUCACUCUCUCUCACCACACUCACCUUCUUCUCUCUCAUUUUUUUUUCUGCCAUAGCCAUAGUUUAGGGCUUUAAAGUUCAAACUUCAAACAAAGUUUCAAUCCAUAAUCCAUUGCCCCGCCCCCGACCCCCAAUCUCACUCACCCAGUCACUCUUACUCUCACUCUCUUCUUCUCUCGUCUCUCCAUCCGAAACUCUCUUCUCAUCAUCAACAUCAAUCAAGCACCAUCUUCCAUAUUCAGAUUUAAGGUUUAAAACUGUGUCAAGACUCUGCCAAGACUCGACCUAUAUCUCACUCUAAGCACAACCCAAAUUGGUUUAAGAUCAGGAUGGGCUAUUAUGAUUACUUGAAUGUUAAAAUGCAUUCUUCAUGCAAAAUAAUAAAAUUGUUGUAGCUAUAUUUUUGGUUAAAAAAGACCAUGCAAGUUGGUCUUAGCAUAUUCUUUUUAUUUUACUCUGGUAUAUGUUUUGUAUUAUCAAUUUCUUACAUUAAAACAAAAUCUUCAUUUAAGAAAGAUGCUUGAAGGAUGGAUUA
This is a long non-coding RNA of Cannabis sativa, 613 nucleotides long. RefSeq lists it as uncharacterized. The transcript is spliced from 3 exons. Lineage: Eukaryota; Viridiplantae; Streptophyta; Magnoliopsida; Rosales; Cannabaceae. The record is from RefSeq and is a predicted model, not a curated record.